CGAGUCCGGGUUUGGGGCCCGGGAGGCGGGGCCAGUUAGGGCGAGGGUCCCUGGGAUCGUCGGGUCAGGCCUUGGGCUAACGUAGGCACUCUCGCAGUUCCUCCGCCUUCGGAAGGUCUUUUUAGCAGGGGCCUUACGGGUGCAUGCUUCGGUCCUGGAGGCCUUAUCCUAGCCUCCUCUCCAUCAGCGCCACCCGUCUGGGGCCCGAAAGGAGGGGCUUUCCCUCUGUCCCCCAGCCUUUGGACUGUCACCAAACAAGCCAUUUGUUCAUCAAAUACUUUUUAAGCGCCUACCAUGUGCCUGACAAGGGAGAUGUAAUGGUGAGAAAAACUAGGUGUGGUCCAGGCCCUUCAGAGGCUCAGGGGCUCGUGGAAGAAGUGGACAUUGAAGUACUUAUCACACAAAUGAGGAUAAAAGUACGAUAGCGAUAUCUACCACGAAGCUGUUGUUCCACACCAGAACCAAAUGAGCGCAAGAUCUGACAAAGAAAAAAAAAGAUUCAUCUUUUAUUCCUCCAAACACUUUCAUUUAAAUCAAGAGGAUGGGAUGUGGUUAUUGCUGUGUUUUUAGACAGAAUCAACGGUUUCUGGGUCUGAGAUGUUGCAUACACCCUCUCAGUCCCUGUAUCCUGAGAGGGAGUCACCUGAGAAUCCACAGCAAGUCCUAACCAGGGAUGGGUCUGGGUGAUUAAGGAAGAUUGGCUUCAGAACUGGGCCAGGGGCACUGCUUUGCUUUUGCUGUUUUGAUCAGCUCUCUGCCUGCAGGAGACAAGGAAAACCAAUGGGAACAGAAACUCCUGGAGGGCAGAGGCAGGCCUGCCAUCUUCAUCAUUGCAUUACCACCACCCAACACUAUCGGGGGACCUGCCCUGAUAAUCAGUCUACAGGUGUAUUCAGCAGCUCCAGAGAGACAGCGACCAGCGAGAAGGGGCCAUGAUGAUGGUGGUGGUUUUGUCAAAACGAAAAUGGGGAUAUGUAGGGAAAAGAAAGAGAGAUCAGACUGUUACUGUGUCUACAUAGAAAGGGAAGACAUAAGAGACUCCAUUUUGGAAAAGACCUGUACUUUAAAGAAUUGCUUUGCUGAGAUGUUGUUAAUCUGUAGCUUUGCCCCAGCCACUUUGCCCCAACCACUUUGACCCAAUCUGGAGCUCACAAAAACAUGUGUUGUAUGAAAUCAAGGUUUAAGGCAUGUAGGGCUGUGCAGGAUGUGUCUUGUUAACCAAAUGUUUGCAAGCAGUAUACUUGGUAAAAGUCAUCACCAUUCUCUCGUCUCAAUAAACCAGGGUCACAAUGCACUGUGGAAAGCCGCAGGGACCUCUGCCCUUGAAAGCUGGGUAUUGUCCAAAGUCUCUCCCCAUGUGAUAGUCUGAAAUAUGGCCUCGUGGGAUGAGAAAGACCUGACGGUCCCCCAGCGCGACACCCAUAAAAGGUCUGUGCUGAGGUGGAUUAGUCAAAGAGGAAAGACUCUUGCCGUUGAGAUAGAGGAAGGCCACUGUCUCCUGACUGCCCCUGGGAACUGAAUGUCUCGGUAUAAAACACGAUUGUACAUUUGUUCAAUUCUGAGAUGGGAGAAAAACCGCCCUAUGGUGGGAGGCGAGACAUGUUUACAGCAAUGCCGCCUUGUUAUUCUUUACUCCACUGAGAUGUUUGAGUGGAGAGAAACAUAAAUCUGGCUUACAUGCACGUCCAGUCAUAGUACCUUCCCUUGAACUCCAUUAUGACAUAGAUUCUAUUGCUCACAUGUUUGUUGCUGACUUUCUCCUUAUUAUCACCCUGCCCUCCUA
Molecule: long non-coding RNA, 1783 nt
Filed under: Pan troglodytes (chimpanzee)
Lineage: Eukaryota; Metazoa; Chordata; Mammalia; Primates; Hominidae
Description: long non-coding RNA NONPTRT016947
Source: RNAcentral